AUGAUAAGAAUGACCACAUAUGCACCCCCACACACGCAUGGGUGCCAACAAUGGUAUGCAGAGUGCUCUCUAUGGGAACAUGCCACUGGGCAGAGGGACUCAGGUGAAGCUGCUCCCCUCCUCCUCUCCCUCUCCACCAUGCCUGAUGACAUUUUUUCACAUUCCCCACCCCUCUACCCAGCAGCCCAAUGGGAGUGCACAGAGGGUAAGGUGGGUGGCUCACAGGUGGCAGAGCUGGAGGGAAGCAGAGUGCUCCGGCCACUCCCCGCCCCCUUUCUAUACUCACUGAGGACAUUCCUCACUUCAUCCAACCCUGUGCCCAGCAGCCCAGUGGAAGUGCUUCCUCCCUCCUGUGUGAGCUUUACUGAGGAGCAGCUGCUGAGAAUGCUACAGCUUCUUGGAGCCACAGGAUUCACCGUGGCUGCCAAAGGGAUCCAGGACACAUAA
This is a long non-coding RNA of Monodelphis domestica (gray short-tailed opossum), 447 nucleotides long. Lineage: Eukaryota; Metazoa; Chordata; Mammalia; Didelphimorphia; Didelphidae. The record is from Ensembl.